RNAcentral lists this ribosomal RNA (254 nucleotides) under uncultured microorganism. RNAcentral describes it as "partial 16S ribosomal RNA". It matches the Rfam family "Archaeal small subunit ribosomal RNA", at positions 474 to 727 of the family's 1478-position model. The record is from RNAcentral.
CACCGGCGGCUCGAGUGGUGGCCACUUUUAUUGGGUCUAAAGCGUCCGUAGCCGGCUUGGCAAGUCCCCUGGGAAAUCUGGCGGCUUAACCGUCAGGCGUCCAGAGGAUACUGCCAGGCUUGGGACCGGGAGAGGUGAGAGGUACCUCAGGGGUAGGGGUGAAAUCUUGUGAUCCCUGAGGGACCACCAGUGGCGAAGGCGUCUCACUAGAACGGGUCCGACGGUCAGGGGCGAAAGCUGGGGGCACGAACCGG